GCCUCGGUGGUGUAGUGGUUAGUGCACGCGUCCCUGGGUAGGAUGAAACGCGGGUUCGAUUCCUGCCCGAGGCC
Parelaphostrongylus tenuis is the source of this 74-nucleotide non-coding RNA. The record is from the annotation of a GenBank genome assembly. Lineage: Eukaryota; Metazoa; Nematoda; Chromadorea; Rhabditida; Metastrongylidae.